AAUGAAAAAUGAUAGACUGAUUAUUAUUAAUAAAAAUAGUGAGGAAAAUAGUGCUAUUCUAUUUUUUCUUUU
This 72-nucleotide transfer RNA is filed under the name Streptococcus pneumoniae. Its description in RNAcentral is "tRNA-Phe(aaa)". Lineage: Bacteria; Bacillati; Bacillota; Bacilli; Lactobacillales; Streptococcaceae. The record is from RNAcentral.